RNAcentral lists this ribosomal RNA (438 nucleotides) under uncultured bacterium. RNAcentral's name for it is "bacterial SSU rRNA". It matches the Rfam family "Bacterial small subunit ribosomal RNA", at positions 954 to 1392 of the family's 1533-position model. The record is from RNAcentral.
GCAUAACGCGAAGAACCUUACCAAGGCUUGACAUGGAUUUCUAAGCACGUGAAAGCGUGUGACCCUUCGGGGGACUUCCACAGGUGCUGCAUGGCCGUCGUCAGCUCGUGUCGUGAGAUGUUGGGUUAAGUCCCGCAACGAGCGCAAUCCUUGUGACUAGUUGCCAGCACGUUAUGGUGGGAACUCUAGUCAGACUGCCCAGAUCAACUGGGAGGAAGGUGGGGACGACGUCAGGUCAGUAUGGCCCUUACGCCUAGGGCUGCACACGUACUACAAUGCCCAGCACAAUGAGAACCGAGACCGCGAGGUGGAGGAAAUCUAAAAAACUGGGCCCAGUUCGGAUUGGAGGCUGCAACUCGCCUCCAUGAAGUUGGAAUCGCUAGUAAUGGCGCAUCAUCUACGGCGCCAUGAAUACGUUCCCGGGUCUUGUACACACCG